Molecule: long non-coding RNA, 1405 nt
Filed under: Marmota monax (woodchuck)
Lineage: Eukaryota; Metazoa; Chordata; Mammalia; Rodentia; Sciuridae
Source: RNAcentral
CAGUCGUCGGGUGGGCGGGUGGCCAGGCAGUGCCGUGCUCAGGAGUAACUGGAGACAACCCCUUGUGACCUCAGGAAGGCAACAGCCCCCAGGGCAGCAGCCAAGGCGUCAAGAUCACCCCUGACCAGCAGAAGAGGAGCAGCUUCUUCCGCUGCGCAUUGGUGUGAGGAGCCGUCUUACCUGGGCGUGCCCGGCCCAGCUGACUGUGCCUGUCCCCAGCGAGCCUGGCUCGCGGGGCCCUCCCGCUCCAACACCUCGCCCGCCGCGGCCACCGGGCCCUCGGCCACCAGAACAUAAUUGAGAAAUUGUUUAUUUUAGUAACUGUCUGAUCUUUUUCAACUUUGGAGAUGGAAGAAGAAUUUGCUAUUUUCCUCUAACGCCCACCAGGACGGCCCACCUGUCUGUCAUACCAGAGAGAAAGAUGGGGUCCCGGUGACCAGCAGCCGCCGCAGGGCAGACCCCGUCUCGGGGCCUCUGAUCCUGGUGUCACCGCAGCGCCCCACAGAAAGCCUGUCCCGCCGCCGGUGGUGCCAGGCACGUCCGCUCUGCACCGAGCAAGUGACCGAUGGCCAGGGCUGGGCGCAUUCACCCGACAGGUCUGCCGCCCACGUCAGCCUGCUCUCAGUUUUGGACAAGUGACAAAAACCAUUUCCCUCCCGUCUCUUUCACUGUUAAACCAAAGGGAAGCACAAAUCCAAGACGCCCUGCGCGGAGCACCAGGAGGGAGGAGGACGGGCGCUCCGACCGCAGCCAGGUCUUGGUCUGUGGCCCAGCUGGCCUCUGAGCACCCCAGUGGAGCAGGGGGGAUGCUGUGCCAGCACAGGUGACCCCAGCAUCAGCCCCUCCCGGGCCUCGUGGCCAGGGCAUGCGGUACCAAACGGCCCCCACCCUGUCCUGUCGCCAUCUCCAAAUCGGACAUUCUUUCUAGCUGAAAUUUUUUUAUUUUUCCAGAUUUGUAGUGCCAUGAAGUGAUUCCGUCUUUGAUUUCCAGGGGCAGACCCAGGUGACGGGAAGCGCGUGUAGCACCCUGGCCAGAGGUGGCCAGGGGCCCUGGCACGGCCGGGGCACAGGCAUUCCAGGGACAGGCUGGCCGCACGGCAGCCCGGGUCGGCUUUUUACUGUCGUUAUUCGGUUCUGUUUUGAUAGCUCUGUCCUCCGGAGAGACUGCGAUUUGGGACCACAUAUCCAGGCGGAGGGCGCCCCACCCCCACCUUUUCUUUGACUCUCCUCCCGCCCCGCCCCCGGCCGCUGUCAGUCCAAGUCAUUGACGUCACCUUCUCCUUUUUUGAAUUAAAUGAACAUACCAGCAAUGUCUGCUCUCCCCUGGGGUCUCUAACAUGCUCUGUUUAUAUCAUAAAUGCACUUAAGGAAAACAGACCAAUUAAAGCUCAUUCUAAAAUUCCCG